GAUGAACGCUGGCGGCGUGCCUAAUACAUGCAAGUCGAGCGAAAAGACGAGGAGCUUGCUCCUCUGACGUUAGCGGCGGACGGGUGAGUAACACGUGGAUAACCUACCUAUAAGACUGGGAUAACUUCGGGAAACCGGAGCUAAUACCGGAUAAUAUAUUGACCCGCAUGGUUCAAUAGUGAAAGACGGUUUUGCUGUCACUUAUAGAUGGAUCCGCGCCGCAUUAGCUAGUUGGUAAGGUAACGGCUUACCAAGGCAACGAUGCGUAGCCGACCUGAGAGGGUGAUCCGCCACACUGGAACUGAGACACGGUCCAGACUCCUACGGGAGGCAGCAGUAGGGAAGCUUCCGCAAUGGGCGAAAGCUUGACGGAGCAACGCCGCGUGAGUGAUGAAGGUCUUCGGACCGUAAAACUCUGUUAUUAGGGAAGAACGAAUGUGUAAGUAACUAUGCACGUCGUGACGGUACCUAAUCAGAAAGCCACGGCUAACUACGUG
This 497-nucleotide ribosomal RNA is filed under the name uncultured bacterium. RNAcentral describes it as "partial 16S ribosomal RNA". It matches the Rfam family "Bacterial small subunit ribosomal RNA", at positions 28 to 507 of the family's 1533-position model. The record is from RNAcentral.